GCACUAUCCUAGAAGACCCCAGUUUUAGAAAGAGAAACUGCAGAGUUUAAUGAUUAAAGAGCAAUAUGCAGCCUAAAAGCCACAAGCUGAGUUUCACAAAUCGCCUUUCUUUUAAACCCAGGCCACAGAUCCAGAUUCAGGAGACAACGGACUUCUGCUGUACAGCUUAGUGACUAACCAAACAAACGAAUUUUACAUCGAUGAAAACACAGGGGAGAUUUUUACAGUUUCUGUAGCAGGAAUGUCUGGAACAUUUUAUCUGGAAGUCCAAGCUGCAGACCAAGGCACAAGAAGACUCACAGCCCAGACAACAGUUAAUGUGACUGUUGAUUCCAGUUCCAGUAACAACUUGGUGGUGGCAGUGCUUAAUCAGAAAAUCAAUGUUGUUGAAAAAAACAUUGCUGAAGUAAAAAGGUAUUUUAAAACUGUGAAGCUUAUUCUGAUAUAUUAUCUAAUCACAAAUUCAGAGUCCCUUUGAGGUAGGGAUCUGACGGCCUACAGAGGAGGUGGUUCAGCCAAGUGCCCAUGAAAAGCUAGGCCUUCAACUUGAGGUAGUUCAGAAUAAUUUGAGAGAAUUCACAGGGAUUUUACCUGGUAAAGGCUUUGGCCUGAGCUGACAAAUGUCAAAGAGGUCAUUGGACUAGAUGAUUUCAAGAGGUCUCUUCUCACCUCAGUGUUUGUGAUUUUUAACAGCCCAGGAUAAAGUACUGUAUGGGUAGUAGGCUCAAGAUACCGAUGUGGAGACAGACAGGAGAGUAGGCACAAACCAAACCCACCUGUGCUACAAGUGAAAAAUCUCCCUUGUAGCACAGCAGUAGAGCUUCUCAAGGAGGUCUCAGCCCUACAGUGCUAUGGGAUUAGGUAAUGAUGUGUGGAUGGCUACACUACAAUGAAAAACACAUUUGGGCCUUUUAGGCACGUUAAUGAAGACGCAAUGCUUUUCUAUUUUGAUUACACAUAAACAUGUAUUUACACUGGAAAUAUCGAGUUCUGUGCUUUUGAGGGGAAAUUACUUCGAAGGACAGAAAAAUGAAUUUUUGACAUUGACACUUUUAUAGCACCAGUUUCGUGUUGGUAAAAAUUAAAUGGAAGCCCUAGAGCUGCUCUGCCAGUUUCUUUGAAGCAGCUGGUACUGAUUGCUAUCGGAAUAAUGGAUUAACUGGGCCUAUGGUCCAAUCCAGUGUGAAAAUCUCUCUGUGAAAAAGAAGGAGAAAACAAUGAGGAUUAUGAGACUGAAUUUCUCUCCUCCCCACCCUUACGAGUACUCUAUAGGUAUCACUGCCUGUAUUUAUAAAAAAUAAGCCAUAUGUUGCUUUGAAAAGCGUGAACUAA
This 1332-nucleotide long non-coding RNA is filed under the name Calidris pygmaea (Spoon-billed sandpiper). Its description in RNAcentral is "lncRNA (ENSCPGG00000016077.1)". The record is from RNAcentral. Lineage: Eukaryota; Metazoa; Chordata; Aves; Charadriiformes; Scolopacidae.